AGUGAACGCUGGCGGUAGGCCUAACACAUGCAAGUCGAACGGCAGCACAGUAAGAGCUUGCUCUUACGGGUGGCGAGUGGCGGACGGGUGAGGAAUACAUCGGAAUCUACUUUUUCGUGGGGGAUAACGUAGGGAAACUUACGCUAAUACCGCAUACGACCUACGGGUGAAAGCAGGGGAUCUUCGGACCUUGCGCGAUUGAAUGAGACGAUGUCGGAUUAGCUAGUUGGCGGGGUAAAGGCCCACCAAGGCGACGAUCCGUAGCUGGUCUGAGAGGAUGAUCAGCCACACUGGAACUGAGACACGGUCCAGACUCCUACGGGAGGCAGCAGUGGGGAAUAUUGGACAAUGGGCGCAAGCCUGAUCCAGCCAUACCGCGUGAGUGAAGAAGGCCUUCGGGUUGUAAAGCCCUUUUGUUGGGAAAGAAAAGCAGCAGGUUAAUACCCCGCUGUUCUGACGGUACCCAAAGAAUAAGCACCGGCUAACUUCGUG
Molecule: ribosomal RNA, 492 nt
Filed under: uncultured bacterium
Lineage: Bacteria
Description: partial 16S ribosomal RNA
Rfam family: Bacterial small subunit ribosomal RNA
Source: RNAcentral